RNAcentral lists this ribosomal RNA (253 nucleotides) under uncultured bacterium. Its description in RNAcentral is "partial 16S ribosomal RNA". It matches the Rfam family "Archaeal small subunit ribosomal RNA", at positions 474 to 727 of the family's 1478-position model. The record is from RNAcentral.
UACCAGCACCCCGAGUGGUCGGGGCGAUUAUUGGGCGUAAAGCGUCCGUAGCCGGUCCUACAAGUCUUCCGUUAAAUCCACCUGCUUAACAGAUGGGCUGCGGAAGAUACUAUAGGGCUAGGAGGCGGGAGAGGCAAGCGGUACUCAGUGGGUAGGGGUAAAAUCCUCUGAUCCAUUGAAGACCACCAGUGGCGAAGGCGGCGUGCCAGAACGCGCUCGACGGUGAGGGAUGAAAGCUGGGGGAGCAAACCGG